RNAcentral lists this ribosomal RNA (253 nucleotides) under uncultured bacterium. Its description in RNAcentral is "partial 16S ribosomal RNA". It matches the Rfam family "Bacterial small subunit ribosomal RNA", at positions 524 to 776 of the family's 1533-position model. The record is from RNAcentral.
UACGGGGGGUGCGAGCGUUGUCCGGAAUCACUGGGCGUAAAGGGCGCGUAGGUGGUUUGAUAAGGGUGUGGUGAAAGCCCGGGGCUCAACCCCGGGUCUGCCGUGCCGACUGUUAAACUCGAGGGCUGUAGAGGCAGACGGAAUUCCGGGUGUAGCGGUGGAAUGCGUAGAGAUCCGGAGGAAGACCGGUGGCGAAGGCGGUCUGCUGGGCAGUUUCUGACACUGAUGCGCGACAGCGUGGGGAGCAAACAGG